UGUGAGUGCCACUGAAAAUCAGCUUGCGUGCCGCCUUCGGCACGCGUGCCAUAGGUUGCCUACCCCUGAUUUAGGAUAUCCUGGUAACAUACUUAUAUCCUCUCUGUCUGACUCUCCACAUGUCUUACAUUACACUCAAACUUUAAUGACUGGGAAAGAGUUGAAAGUAAAAAAAAAAAAAAAGUGUUGAUGUUUCUGAUCAGGAUAAUUAUACCUGGAAAUGCACCAGGACUAGAGUCCAGGCACAUUUUUUUCCUGGGUGACACACACAACAUUCCAGUCUCAAAAAAGGACCACGCUCCCCAAAGCCACAUUAGGACACUGCACAGUCCACGCUGUUCCACUCUUAAUCUAUAAUCACACAUACACACCCCGCCUGGCUGUUUAAUAUUUUCUGUAUGCAAAUGAAGUUCUAUACACUUGGUGACUGAGACAAGCUGUAGACUGGAUUAUUUCUCCAGUAGGGAGGGGGAUCUCUGCACCAGCUCCAAAUAGAACAGUUCAUAGGAUGGAUGGGGGAAAGGGAACUGUGGUUUCUAUAGCUACAAGGAUCCAUUGUCCCAUAAACUCUGAAAAGCAGCAUCAGCAGUGCUAUUCUAGCCCAUGGGCUGAUACAGUGCUGGGAAGAUUCACUUGUCAUUGGUUCAGAUGAGGAAAAAUGGCAAGUGUUUAUCCACUUAAUCUGUCAGAACAUCUGCAGAGUGACCAGCACUGUAAAAUAAACCAACCUAAGUAUUCCACUUAAUCUGGGAGUGACAAGGAUCUAAAAUUCUAAAUUCUCUAUUGAUCAAUUUUAUAGCUAGCAUAAAAUUAAGAUCCUUUCCCUGCAGGAUGUCGAUAUCUGAGUCACAUCAAGGACACGGAUAUUUUAUAAUCACAACAUGAAAUGUACCCCCUCUUCCUUUCUAGAUUAUUUGGGAGCAGGCAACAGUCACCUGUGUGCCCAGGUGCCUGAUGAUGUCAACAGUAAAGGAGAUCUUGAGUAUCCCAGUGGUGAUAUUGGACAGAUGGGAAUCCUCUAUCCACCCCUCUGCUGCAGUCCUUUUACUUGUAAAGGAAAUUAAUCUUGGAGAUGCCUCCACCUGGCUGGGGCCCUGUACAUACUCAAAGGUGUGCCUUGGGAGCUUCCAGGAGUAACCCUGAGCUAAUCUAUGCAAAAAGUCUAACUCAAAAGUACCAAUUUUAAAUAAUAUACACCCAAUAUGCACUUAGAUUAGAGUUAACAAACCUUUACUCAACAAUUUAGAAACACGUGAUGUAACACACUGAGAAUGAAAAUGCCACAACCACUUUAAAUCAGCAGGGGGCACUUCAAUAAAUCAGUUAACUGCAGUUUACAGCAGUAAAUGAAACUUCACCAAUUUACAUUUACACUGCCACCAUUUCCCCACCCCCUGAGUGUGCACUCCUCUGAAUUUCAGAGUUCUAGAUGCUUGCGUGGGCGUGCUUGCUGUUGAAGCUGAGGACAGCACUCUGUUGGUCCAGUAAACCAGUCCAGCUACGGCAACAUGGGGAGAGCAAUUCUAACUUGGGAUCAUUUCAAGCUGCACAACCCCUCUGAAGAUUGGAGUUGUUAUAGCCAGAGAUUUGAGAAAAUCUUGAUUCCCACCCCUAAAGCAAUGAAGAAAUAGAGACUGGAUCCAACUUCUGCCCCAUGCUGGACAAGGGCACUACCACAAGACCAACAGUCAGUUACAUUUAAACUAGUGGAAUUUCCCAUUGCUUGAACUUGUAGGACAGGUAAUAGCAACGUUGAGCUGAGUUGUUCCAUUUUCAAAAGCUGCAUCAGCUUUAUGAGUUUCCCAGACACCACAAUGGGCUGGGGUUCUUUCCUUAAUGGAGGUGUAUUAGAACUUAAGAACUAGCCCAUUAAUGCUUGUCCUGGACUACUUGAGUCAAUGGAGAGGGUAGUGUGACCCUUCCUUUUAUUAUUUUCUACCCCUCUUCAAAUAUUUUCCCUAAUAAGAGCCCAAUCAUGCUAGAGCUGAGCACUCUCAAUUCCCACUGAUUUCAAUUGGUGUUGAUGUCACUCAGUAUUAGGCUGAAAGUAUUUGGCACUUUGUCCCAUCCAUUUGGCCUUCCAUGCUCAAAAUUUCUACUUUUGUCAGUUGGAGUCUGGGGUACUCUCAGUAGCUCACAGGAUCAAGCCCUUGAUCAGUAGUAAGUCAAACCCAGCACCACAAGAAAAUUUAACCCAGCCUGUUACUAAAAGAAAUAGUAAAAUUGGUUUCAAGAUCUUUCUGGGGGAAGCUGGUGAUAUCAGCAGAUUGCUAAGUCACAGAUAGAAUGAUAGAGGGAUGGCGGGAGCACAAAAAGUUUACAGUCACUGCAAUGGGGAUCGGGACUUAACUCAUCCCUUCUGAGGGGACCUUUUUCAAGAACGUUGAGCAAAAGCCCUUUGGUCACUAAGGUUUAGGGGAGUUAGCUACAAACACACACAUGCUUUCCCCACUGGGUAUGUGACCAGACAAUGAAAGUUUGUACGAUAUUUGAUAUCCUGCUGGAGAGUUUUGCUGGGUGAAGUUUCCCUGCAGCUGGAAUUCUCCCUUUCUAGCUUGCUCCUGCAGUUCCAGCUGGUCCUAGACAAAUUAAUUUUUUAUGUGUCAAACUCAGUGGUGAUUAUUUUUCUAGCACCCCUUUGAACUCUAAAACCUUUUUUCUCCAAGGAGACACAGCAUAGUUUCUGGGCUAUCAAAAUCAAACCAACUGACAAGUGGUGACCAUUGAUAUUUUAAAACAAAAUAUUAUCAAUUUUGUUAUACUAUUUUUAAAUCUACCAAUAAAGUGUAUUUUCCCUACAUAUGUUACGCUGAAAAUUCAUGAAGGGGAAAACCAAACACAUAGCAUGAAGAUUAUCUUCCUGAGAAACAACCACCUGGAUGAAUAUUCCUUUUACCCCUGGGAAUGCCUACAAGAUUUCAAGAAAUUCUGCUCUGUGCCUCUAAGAGGUGCAGCACAGAACUCAUAGCUUAGGAGGACGUGGGGGGCUAAAGUGAUUUUAAGCCACUUUUGAAUCCUCCCAAUUCUGGAUUAUUCCACGGGGUCAGAGAGGCCCCUGGCAUAAUUUAGACAGCCGGGGGUCUGUGGAAAUUACAGCAGCCAUCCUGUUGCUCCAGAUUUGAGAGGUGUAUGAACUCCAGAAUUCAAUUAAACUAAUUGCAACCAUAUUAUGUACAUUCAGCCACCAUGAAUUAAUAAAAUAGAACACCACAUAGUUAAGGGUUAAUUUGAACAAGCAGGGCUUUGGGAGGCAAGGUCAAAUGCUAGCUGCAUGCCUGCUGUUUCUGCUAAUCAGAAUAGGAGGAGGGGAGAAAAGAGUCAACAAAUUGAGACUGAAAGAAAAUAGGUGGAUUGAAACCUUGAGUUUUGGGUGCCUUUGAUAUAGAAGCUUAUUUAUGACUAAGAUUGUUAGGAAUGUUUGUUGCCAAGUAGUUUAUUGAAGUUAGGAGAAGUGAUGACCCGGUAGGGGUCACCAUGAGCUAUGUGUUUCAUAAACGUUAGUUACAAAAGACUAGGUAAUAGCGUGUACUUUGGAGGAGUUCUCUGAAGCUAUCCUGAGAAACUUUUUCCUGAUACCAUACUCCCCGGCGGGGAAGCAACUGGCCAUCAUGAACCUGCUGUAAAUUAUUCAAUAUCAUCUCAGAUUCUAGGUAAUUAUAUGGGAUGUUUUAAACCUAUUACUUAUGUCUGUGUGUGCUUGAAUCUAAUAAAUUGUAGUUUUAACUCA
This is a long non-coding RNA of Trachemys scripta elegans, 3727 nucleotides long. RefSeq lists it as uncharacterized. The transcript is spliced from 2 exons. NCBI's taxonomy places the organism in Eukaryota, Metazoa, Chordata, Testudines, Emydidae. The record is from RefSeq and is a predicted model, not a curated record.